CGGAGACAACCAACCCAACGAACCGAGCAGACAAAAGCCCGCCGAAACAAAACAGGGAUUGCUUGCUUGCUUGUUUGUUGGGUUUUGUUUCAGCAGAAGAGAUGAGUGUUCAGAUAAAUCAGUUUGAUUCUGGGUGUUGAGAACGCGAAUAGCCACUGUUGGACUUGUGGUCUACAAAAUUCAUACCCUGCGCUAUUUGGUGCCUGUGGUAAAUGAAGGAAGAACUGGACCACUAAUUCAGCUAAAGCUGCUACGACCGACAGUGUCGUGACCUGGAAAAAGCCACUUGAGCUGGAACAAUUCCUGGUUUAUUAGUAGAACACAGGAGUAGUAGUAUUUCUUUGUUAGAAACUAGUUCUGCCCAUGUUGUAUUCUGCAAAACUUUUAUAAGUAAAAGCAAUUGCCUGGCUGAGGAACAUAAAACAAACUUUUAAUGUUUUAAAUUGUAUGAAGCUAUUAUGACACUCACAAAAUGAUCCUAUUAUUAAAUUGUGUCACACCAUCAAAGCUCAGAAACUGUUCACUGAAAUCGCUAUAAUUUUUUUGACAAUACUUCUAAACUCAGCCUUGAGAAUGAGUGAACUAGUUUUGCUGAAAUGC
Long non-coding RNA from Columba livia (rock pigeon), 600 nucleotides. RefSeq lists it as uncharacterized. The transcript is spliced from 2 exons. The record is from RefSeq and is a predicted model, not a curated record. Lineage: Eukaryota; Metazoa; Chordata; Aves; Columbiformes; Columbidae.